This 497-nucleotide ribosomal RNA is filed under the name uncultured bacterium. RNAcentral describes it as "partial 16S ribosomal RNA". It matches the Rfam family "Bacterial small subunit ribosomal RNA", at positions 28 to 507 of the family's 1533-position model. The record is from RNAcentral.
GAUGAACGCUGGCGGCGUGCCUAAUACAUGCAAGUCGAGCGAACAGACGAGGAGCUUGCUCCUCUGACGUUAGCGGCGGACGGGUGAGUAACACGUGGAUAACCUACCUAUAAGACUGGGAUAACUUCGGGAAACCGGAGCUAAUACCGGAUAAUAUAUUGAACCGCAUGGUUCAAUAGUGAAAGACGGUUUUGCUGUCACUUAUAGAUGGAUCCGCGCCGCAUUAGCUAGUUGGUAAGGUAACGGCUUACCAAGGCAACGAUGCGUAGCCGACCUGAGAGGGUGAUCAGGCACACUGGAAAUGAGAAAAGGUCCAGACUCCUACGGGAGGCAGGAGGAGGGAAUCUUGCACAAAGGGCGAAAGCCUGAACGAGCAAAGCCGCGUGGGGGAAGAAGGGUUUCGGAUUGGAAAACCCUUUUAAUUGGGAAGAAAAAAAGUGGAAGAAAACUUGGAAGGUUUGAAGGGACCAAAAGAAAAAGACCAGGCUAAAUUAGUG